AUGGAAAAUAUAUUAACUUAUCUGAAACUGAAGAUUUCAUUGUACUGUUGGAUAAAAACAUUGAGCAUGGGGAGCUGCAGAAAUGGAGCUGCACCAGAAGAGGGAAUGAGUUGGGACACUGUCCUGAGGGCCAGAGGAAGACAUGGAAGACAGAGCUGUGGGCUGGUGACCGGGUCCAUAGACAACUCCCAACAUGGCAGAUGUUUGAGUGCAUCCUGCUCCAUCAUCUGCUGCCACUACAAAAGAUCACAGGUCUAUCAUUGGUCCUGCAGGAAGGAGGUCUAUCAUCACUCUUGGAGGAAAUGGCAGAGGAAAGAAAUGGAGAAAAGCAGAAGGGAAGAACAUUGA
RNAcentral lists this long non-coding RNA (348 nucleotides) under Anas platyrhynchos platyrhynchos (common mallard). Its description in RNAcentral is "lncRNA (ENSAPLG00000020189.1)". Lineage: Eukaryota; Metazoa; Chordata; Aves; Anseriformes; Anatidae. The record is from RNAcentral.